GACGAACGCUGGCGGCGUGCUUAACACAUGCAAGUCGUACGGAAAGGCCCUGCUUGCAGUGUACUCGUGUGGCGAACGGGUGAGUAACGCGUGUGAGAUGUGCCCUGCACUUCGGGAUCAGCCUGGGACUCUAGCUCAAAUACGGGAUAGGCGCCAUCUUCAUUGUGAUGGUUGGAAAGCUUUUUCGGUUGAGGAUGAACUCGCGGCCUAUCAGCUUGUUGGUGGGGUAAUGGCCUACCAAGGCGGCGACGGGUAGCCGGCCUGAGAGGGUGGACGGCCACAUUGGGACUGAGAUACGGCCCAGACUCCUACGGGAGGCAGCAGUGGGGAAUAUUGCACAAUGGGCGCAAGCCUGAUGCAGCGACGCCGCGUGGGGGAUGACGGCCUUCAGGUUGUAAACCGCUUUCGCUAGGGACGAAGCUUUUUGUGACGGUACCUAGAGAAGAAGCACCGGCUAACUACGUG
This 465-nucleotide ribosomal RNA is filed under the name uncultured bacterium. RNAcentral describes it as "partial 16S ribosomal RNA". It matches the Rfam family "Bacterial small subunit ribosomal RNA", at positions 28 to 507 of the family's 1533-position model. The record is from RNAcentral.